RNAcentral lists this ribosomal RNA (821 nucleotides) under Salmonella enterica. Its description in RNAcentral is "partial 23S ribosomal RNA". It matches the Rfam family "Bacterial large subunit ribosomal RNA", at positions 711 to 1444 of the family's 2925-position model. The record is from RNAcentral. Lineage: Bacteria; Pseudomonadati; Pseudomonadota; Gammaproteobacteria; Enterobacterales; Enterobacteriaceae. RNAcentral also lists the same sequence under 1 other name.
AGACCCGAAACCCGGUGAUCUAGCCAUGGGCAGGUUGAAGGUUGGGUAACACUAACUGGAGGACCGAACCGACUAAUGUUGAAAAAUUAGCGGAUGACCUGUGGCUGGGGGUGAAAGGCCAAUCAAACCGGGAGAUAGCUGGUUCUCCCCGAAAGCUAUUUAGGUAGCGCCUCGUGAAUUCAUCUCCGGGGGUAGAGCACUGUUUCGGCUAGGGGGCCAUCCCGGCUUACCAACCCGAUGCAAACUGCGAAUACCGGAGAAUGUUAUCACGGGAGACACACGGCGGGUGCUAACGUCCGUCGUGAAGAGGGAAACAACCCAGACCGCCAGCUAAGGUCCCAAAGUCAUGGUUAAGUGGGAAACGAUGUGGGAAGGCCCAGACAGCCAGGAUGUUGGCUUAGAAGCAGCCAUCAUUUAAAGAAAGCGUAAUAGCUCACUGGUCGAGUCGGCCUGCGCGGAAGAUGUAACGGGGCUAAACCAUGCACCGAAGCUGCGGCAGCGAACGUAUCACCCAAGACAACUUUACGGAGUUGACGAUUGACGGAGCGAAGCGACGUCAAAGCGUUCAUUAAAGUCGAGUUGGCUUAGGGAUACGUUCGUUGGGUAGGGGAGCGUUCUGUAAGCCUGUGAAGGUGUGUCGUGAGGCAUGCUGGAGGUAUCAGAAGUGCGAAUGCUGACAUAAGUAACGAUAAAGCGGGUGAAAAGCCCGCUCGCCGGAAGACCAAGGGUUCCUGUCCAACGUUAAUCGGGGCAGGGUGAGUCGACCCCUAAGGCGAGGCCGAAAGGCGUAGUCGAUGGGAAACGGGUUAAUAUUCCCGUAC